Molecule: ribosomal RNA, 448 nt
Filed under: Arcobacter sp. canine oral taxon 276
Lineage: Bacteria; Pseudomonadati; Campylobacterota; Epsilonproteobacteria; Campylobacterales; Arcobacteraceae
Description: bacterial SSU rRNA
Rfam family: Bacterial small subunit ribosomal RNA
Source: RNAcentral
GAGUUUGAUUCUGGCUCAGAGUGAACGCUGGCGGCGUGCUUAACACAUGCAAGUCGAACGAGAACGGGUUAUAGCUUGCUAUAAUUGACAGCUAAGUGGCGCACGGGUGAGUAAUGUAUAGGUAAUAUGCCUUUUACUAAGGGAUAACAAAUGGAAACGUUUGCUAAUACCUUAUAUUCCUUUUUUGCAUAAGUAAAGAAGGGAAAGAUUUAUCGGUAAGAGAUUGGCCUGUAUUGUAUCAGUUAGUUGGUGGGGUAAUGGCCUACCAAGACUAUGACGCAUAACUGGUUUGAGAGGAUGAUCAGUCACACUGGAACUGAGACACGGUCCAGACUCCUACGGGAGGCAGCAGUGGGGAAUAUUGCACAAUGGACGGAAGUCUGAUGCAGCAACGCCGCGUGGAGGAUGACACAUUUCGGUGCGUAAACUCCUUUUAUAUAAGAAGAUG